CACUGGCAGCUCAAGUGGUGGCAGUUUUUUAUUGGGCCUAAAGCGUUCGUAGCCGGUUUGAUAAGUCUCUGGUGAAAUCCUACAGCUUAACUGUGGGAAUUGCUGGAGAUACUAUCAGACUUGAGGUCGGGAGAGGUUAGAGGAACUCCCAGGGUAGGGGUGAAAUCCUAUAAUCCUGGGAGGACCACCUGUGGCGAAGGCGUCUAACUGGAACGAACCUGACGGUGAGUAACGAAAGCCAGGGGCGCGAACCGGAUUAGAUACCCUGGUAGUCCCUGAGCGGG
This 284-nucleotide ribosomal RNA is filed under the name uncultured prokaryote. Its description in RNAcentral is "partial 16S ribosomal RNA". It matches the Rfam family "Archaeal small subunit ribosomal RNA", at positions 474 to 754 of the family's 1478-position model. The record is from RNAcentral.